GGUACCUGGAAACCUCGGGCCCGGGAGCCAAUUCUUGACGGGGACGCGGGCCCGGGCGGCCGCGGGAAGCCAAGGAUACAACAUUACAUUUAGUCUUCAUGUCUCCAUAGGCUCCUCUUGGCUGUGACAAUUUCUCAUACUCUCCUCAUUUUUGAUGACCUCGACAAUGUUGAGGAGUACUGCCCCGUUCUAAAGCCUCAGCGUCUUCUGCCUCAGUCGGCAGAAAGGGAAAGAGGCAGUGGAGGAGCCACUUCAGAUUCAUAAAAAC
This is a long non-coding RNA of Mesoplodon densirostris (Blainville's beaked whale), 268 nucleotides long. RefSeq lists it as uncharacterized. The record is from RefSeq and is a predicted model, not a curated record. The transcript is spliced from 3 exons. NCBI's taxonomy places the organism in Eukaryota, Metazoa, Chordata, Mammalia, Artiodactyla, Ziphiidae.